AAAAGAGGCUCAGAGAUGUGCAGUGCUGGCCAGGGAUGGGGGUGACAGGGGAGGGACCAGAGUCCAGGUGUUCUGACUGUGUCCUCUCCACACUGCCUGUGGCCACCAGAGGAUGGUCGUGACAUCCAUCGGUCACCCCGGGCCCGUUCCUGCCUGGACUGACCCACUCCCAGCUGUUGGUGGACUUGCUCUUCCAUUCGUUCCACAUUGGAAUGGGUGCAAUGGUGGCCCCAAAAAUGACACGUCCACACCCCAACCUCCAGAACCUACAAAUGUGAGCUUAUUUGGAGAAAGAGUCUUUGCAGACGGGAUGACGUUAAUGAUCUAGAGAAUGAGAACAUUCUAGAUCCUCCAGUGUGGGGAUGGACUCAGAUGAGACGGGGCUAGAAAGAGGAAAACCAGCAGGAGGCUUUGCCAGGCCCAGACCAGGCCGGCGCUGAGGAUGGGCAUCUUCUGGACCCCAGCUGGGGACGUGCUGUCAGUGUUCAGGCUGUGGGGAGCACCCACACACAGAAACGCCCAGUGUCAGCUGGAGUCCGUUCCACCAACACCGACCAGCGCACAUCAGGGCUGGACUCUGCUCCAGGGGACAGUGAGGUGGACUUGGGCCUGGCUGGUGCCCUCAGGGGACAAAGGGCACAAGGUAGAUUUGCCAAGAAGUACUCCAGGAGGGCCAGACGUGCUGAGCGCUCCCGGGGCGGGUACACAGAGCAGGGGGAACACAGGAGAAAUGCG
RNAcentral lists this long non-coding RNA (735 nucleotides) under Equus asinus (donkey). RNAcentral describes it as "lncRNA (ENSEASG00005024565.1)". The record is from RNAcentral. Lineage: Eukaryota; Metazoa; Chordata; Mammalia; Perissodactyla; Equidae.